GACGAACGCUGGCGGCGUGCUUAACACAUGCAAGUCGAACGGAAAGGCCCUGCUUUUGUGGGGUGCUCGAGUGGCGAAAGGGUGAGUAACACGUGAGUAACCUGCCCUUGACUUUGGGAUAACUUCAGGAAACUGGGGCUAAUACCGGAUAGGAGCUCCUGCUGCAUUGUGGGGGUUGGAAAGUUUCGGCGGUUGGGGAUGGACUCGCGGCUUAUCAGCUUGUUGGUGGGGUAGUGGCUUACCAAGGCUUUGACGGGUAGCCGGCCUGAGAGGGUGACCGGCCACAUUGGGACUGAGAUACGGCCCAGACUCCUACGGGAGGCAGCAGUGGGGAAUAUUGCACAAUGGGCGGAAGCCUGAUGCAGCAACGCCGCGUGCGGGAUGACGGCCUUCGGGUUGUAAACCGCUUUCGCCUGUGACGAAGCGUGAGUGACGGUAAUGGGUAAAGAAGCACCGGCUAACUACGUG
RNAcentral lists this ribosomal RNA (468 nucleotides) under uncultured bacterium. Its description in RNAcentral is "partial 16S ribosomal RNA". It matches the Rfam family "Bacterial small subunit ribosomal RNA", at positions 28 to 507 of the family's 1533-position model. The record is from RNAcentral.